GAUGAACGCUGGCGGCGUGCCUAAUACAUGCAAGUCGAGCGAACGGACGAGAAUCUUGCUGCUCUGAUGUUAGCGGCGGACGGGUGAGUCACGCGUGGAUAACCUACCUAUAAGACUGGUAUAACUUCGGGAAACCGGAUCUAAUACCGGAUAAUAUUUUGAACCGCAUGGUUCAAAGGUAAAAUACGGUCUUUCUGUCACUUAUAGAUGCAUCCCCGCUGUAUUAGCUGGUUGGUAAGGUAACGGCUUACAAAGGCAACGAUGCGUAGACGACCUGGUAGAGUGGUCGGCGGCAUUGGAACUGGAACACGGACAAGAGUCCUACGGGAGGCAGCAGUAGGGAAUCGUCCGCAACAGGCGAAAGCAUGGCGGAGCAACGCCGAGUGAGUGAUGAAGGUCCUGGGAUCGUAAAACUCUGUUACUAGGGAAGAACCGAUGUGUAAGUAGCUGUGCACAUCUUGACGGUAACUAAUCAGAAAGCCACGGCUAACUACGUG
Molecule: ribosomal RNA, 497 nt
Filed under: uncultured bacterium
Lineage: Bacteria
Description: partial 16S ribosomal RNA
Rfam family: Bacterial small subunit ribosomal RNA
Source: RNAcentral